RNAcentral lists this ribosomal RNA (497 nucleotides) under uncultured bacterium. Its description in RNAcentral is "partial 16S ribosomal RNA". It matches the Rfam family "Bacterial small subunit ribosomal RNA", at positions 28 to 507 of the family's 1533-position model. The record is from RNAcentral.
GAUGAACGCUGGCGGCGUGCCUAAUACAUGCAAGUCGAGCGAACAGACGAGGAGCUUGCUCCUCUGACGUUAGCGGCGGACGGGUGAGUAACACGUGGAUAACCUACCUAUAAGACUGGGAUAACUUCGGGAAACCGGAGCUAAUACCGGAUAAUAUAUUGAACCGCAUGGUUCAAUAGUGAAAGACGGUUUUGCUGUCACUUAUAGAUGGAUCCGCGCCGCAUUAGCUAGUUGGUAAGGUAACGGCUUACCAAGGCAACGAUGCGUAGCCGACCUGAGAGGGUGAUAGGCCACACUGGAACUGAGACACGGUCAAGACUCCUAAGGGAGGCAGCAGUAGGGAAUCGUCCGCAAUGGGCGAAAGCCUGACGGAGCAACGCCGAGUGAGUGAUGAAGGUCUUCGGAUCGUAAAACUCUGUUAUUAGGGAAGAACAAAUGUGUAAGUAACUAUGCACGUCUUGACGGUACCUAAUCAGAAAGCCACGGCUAACUACGUG